UGGGUUACUAAAGUUCAUCCCGGCAUGAUCACAUGCACAGCAGCACAAAUUUCUGCUUUUACGAGCCAGCAAGUUCAAGUUCAAGGCGACACGAGGGUCGAGUGUCUGCGGUUUGCAAACAAUCCGAAAUUGGAUGCAGAAGUAUCAGCACAUGGAGGCAGCACACAGAUUGUGUUAUACCGGGUGUCUGUUGGCGGCGUUGUGGAGCUCCGGACACACCAAAAAUCCACCAAUCAGUGAGCGGAGCUGUGUAGACCCAUCCAAUCAGAAUGAAUGCAAGGGUGUUGCUAGGAGAUAGGGUGCUGUCAGGACAAUGCAGUGGGAGGAGUGGAAUCCUACACCUGCUGAGGCUGUGAUGUCAUGAGGGGCUGGACAGCACAGGGUAACUGCAAUUCAAUUUUACAAAGACACUACAUAAUGUAAAGUGUAUCAAUCCUAUUAUUAAAAUAUUGCUAAAAAGACGAUAGUCAUAUCUGACUACAUUUAAUGCAUGUUUUGUAUUGUAUAUAAAAUUGAAGCAAAUGUUCAUGUGCCUAUUUACAGGUUUAUUGAUAAAUUGAAACUACAUUAUCUGUACACAAGACCACAUAUGGCUGGAUCUGGAUUUUUUCCCCUUAUCAUCAUAGGUGCUUCUUACUAUUAAAAGACUCACUUGCCUAUUGGUCAAAUUAUGCAAUAAUUUAUUAAAACAUUCACAAAAGGUACAAAUAU
Sinocyclocheilus anshuiensis is the source of this 711-nucleotide long non-coding RNA. RefSeq lists it as uncharacterized. The record is from RefSeq and is a predicted model, not a curated record. NCBI's taxonomy places the organism in Eukaryota, Metazoa, Chordata, Actinopteri, Cypriniformes, Cyprinidae. The transcript is spliced from 2 exons.